Long non-coding RNA from Octopus sinensis (East Asian common octopus), 901 nucleotides. RefSeq lists it as uncharacterized. NCBI's taxonomy places the organism in Eukaryota, Metazoa, Mollusca, Cephalopoda, Octopoda, Octopodidae. The transcript is spliced from 2 exons. The record is from RefSeq and is a predicted model, not a curated record.
UCUUUCUUUCUGUCUCUGUCUGCCUGUUGUGCUCUUUCUCUCCUUAUUUCUCGUUUUCUUUCAUUAUCCUUUUGUUUGUUUGUUUCUUUCUUUCUGUCUUAUCUGUCUGUCUCUGUUUUUCUCUCUCUACUUUGGAAGCUUGUGAUAUUCCCUCUUAUGAAAUGUCAGUACUACGCUAAUGAGUGAUGCUCAGAUAUCAAGGAGUGCAACUGUAUAGCUCCACUCAAAUGUCAGCAGCAGAUGACACAUUGAGGGAUGGAGCCAUCAUGUCACUCUCUCUAUUCAAGGACAACAGAAGACAGAGGACUCAUACCAAACCUUCAGUGGGAGUGCAGUUGAAUAGCUUCACUCAAGUGACAACUGCAGACUGUCUGUGAGUGCAACUGUCAAUCCACACUGAAUAACAACUGUAAACUCAAAGAGCACAGCUGUAUAUCUCAAAUAAAAUGACAACAGAGACUACCAGUGAGUGUAGCUGUUCAUCUCUACUCAAGUGAUAACAGAAGACCCAGUGAGUGCAACUGUAAGUCUCCACUCAAGUGACAACAGUGUCAGUAAGUGCAGCUGUCAGUCUCCACUCAAAUGACAACAGUGUCAGUGAGUGCAGCUGUCAGUCACCACUCAAGUGACAGCAAUAGACUGUCAGUGAGUUAAUCUGUAAGUCUGCAGUCAAAUGAGAACAGCAGCUUGUCAGUGAGUGGAACUUUCAGUCUCCACUCAAGUGACAACAACAGACCCAGUGAACGCAACUAUAACUAAUGAGGACAUUAUUGUGAAAUCGUUAAGAAAAUAAUUGUUUAAAUUUGUAAAAGUCAUCUUUUGAUGAUUUUAAAAUCUGUGAUUCAAAGGAAAUUGAAUUGUUUUUUGUUUGUUUGUCUUUGAUAUUAAAUUGUUUUGAUUA